AGAGUUUGAUCCUGGCUCAGGAUGAACGCUGGCGGCGUGCCUAAUACAUGCAAGUCGAGCGGUAAGGCUUUCACAGAUUAUUUGAACAAAGUAAGUUCGUCAGCUGACGAAUACUAUUUUGAAACGGUUUCAUCCGGCUAGAUGAAACUGGUCGAAUAAUGCGUGAAAGUACACGAGCGGCGGACGGCUGAGUAACGCGUAGGAACGUACCCCAAAGUGAGGAAUAAGCACCGGAAACGGUGUCUAAUGCCGCAUGUGAUCUACGGAUUAAAGGAUUUAUCCGCUCUGGGAGCGGCCUGCGUAAGAUUAGCUAGUUGGUGAGGUAAUGGCUCACCAAGGCGACGAUCUUUAGCUGGUCUGAGAGGAUGAUCAGCCAGACUGGGACUGAGACACGGCCCAGACUCCUACGGGAGGCAGCAGUAGGGAAUUUUCCACAAUGGACGAAAGUCUGAUGGAGCAACGCCGCGUGCAGGAUGAAUGCCUUCGGGUUGUAAACUGCUUUUA
This 504-nucleotide ribosomal RNA is filed under the name uncultured bacterium. Its description in RNAcentral is "bacterial SSU rRNA". It matches the Rfam family "Bacterial small subunit ribosomal RNA", at positions 8 to 438 of the family's 1533-position model. The record is from RNAcentral.